AGUCGAUACACUGCACUCUGCCAAGUCGACCCCCUCCCGCACCCCCUCCCAAUUUUUCAAAGUACUGUGCAUCGCACACGUGCGUCCGUUCCUUUCGUUAUUGGUUCUUUUUGUUUAUUCACGCGCUCUCUCUCCGCCUCCUGCGGGCGGGUGUGGCUUGCCCACAAAGGAGUUGUUCGCCCUCCAUCUCCCUCUUCAGGCUUUCGUUCAUUCCUGUGACGGUUCCCUACCGUACGUACCUACACGUGCGUCGCACCGCCGCUCUCCUUCGUCUUCCUCGCACCGUUCACCCCUGUUAUUCGCCAUGGUAGUGCUCAGCAAGAAGGAGUUCUACUACGCGUGGAACCAGUACCACCUGCUUGACUGGAUCGUCCUGACCGUCCUGCUCCUGAUCUCCAUGAUCGUCACGAUUUCGAUGAAGCCGCACUGUCGAACCUUCUCCUGGAAUGACGCCACUAUCGCGUACCCGAGCCAUGCAGACACGUUCCCCGAUUACUCGCUGGCACUCAUGCUGGUGUUUUCCGUCGUGUUUUACGUGAUAUUCAUCUGGUACCUCGUGCGGCCACUGCAGGAGUUCGUCGGUGAGCCGCUGGACUGGUAUAGCAUCGGCGGUGCUGACGCCGGCACAAGCGGCGAGGGCAACGCGUACGCAGAAAUGGACACUGUAGUGAACACGAGGCAGCCGCGCAUCCGCGACAUGCAGACUGGCCGUGGUCUGGUGUAUCCGUGGCUGCGUGCACAGCUCUGGUCUGUUGGAAUGGAGUCCUGCGCGACAGCGGUACUCAAGGUGUACGCCGGCCGGCUUCGACCAGACUACCUGAGCCGGCUCAAGGCAGCUGGGUACACGAGCUCGAUGUCGCAUCUGCCCGACCCACAGACAAACCCUGACUACUACUGCGCCCUUAUGGAUGCCCACCCCGCGCUGAAGGAGGGCCGGCUAUCUUUUCCAUCCGGGCACAGCAGCACGUCCUUUGCGGUGUGCACAGUCGUCUGUCUCUUCUUCGUCGCCCAUCUGCGUCCAUUUGCGCGGCACGCCAGCUUUACCCGGCUCAUUAUUUGCCUGUUGCCGAUCUCCGUAUCGCUCAUGUGUGCCGUGAGCCGCACGCGCGACAACAAGCACCAUUUUUCUGACAUCAUCGCCGGCUCGCUGAUCGGGGUCGUCUCUGCCUUUCUGUCGUUCUACGGUAGCUUCCGGCAGGUAGGCGGAGCGGCUGGCAUCUACUUUAGCCGCACGGCGACGGACAUCGAGUAUGAACAGUUGCGCGAGUGGAAAUCAGCUGGCGGCAACGAAGGCAGCGGUGCUGCCGUGGAGAUCCCUACUGCUGGCGGCAGCAGUGCCAACUACCAAUCGACUAACAAGAGGGAAGAAGCCGCGCGUUGUAGGUCUGCGUCGCCGAUAAACAGGAUGAACGACGCUGUGGUGACCUUCAACGACUCGGUGCGGCGGCCGACAGGGCUGACGGAGCGGCGGUUGAACGAGGACCCAGCGGCCGUUCCGUGGAUCUAACCUGCACGUGCAUGCGUGCCCGUACCCAUGCUAUGUGAAAGCUCGCUCCGUGGUCACUGUUCCCGUUAGCCCAUCUCAACAAGCAGGAUCGCCUGUAAUGGACACAAGCACGCACGCACACACACACACACAUACACACAACAUACAGGCGUGAAGCAGCGACAGCGACAGGCGCAAGAGAGGACGGGAUGCGGGCGGGACGAGAGUGCUGCAGUGUAUCGUCGCAGCGCUAAUAAGGGCAUGAGACGCAGCCGCUACUGAAACAGAGCAAGAAAGGCCUAGCGCAAGCAGCAGACAUGUCGCCUGCAGAUGGAGACAGAGGGCUUCCGCGAGAUGAAGAGAGAGGGAUAGAAGAAGAGGCGAUCCAGUGCGGAUAGAGACAGAAACAAGCAAAACGAAAAGCAGGAAAGCGCCCACUUGUGUGUGUCGGCGUGUGUAGGUGUAUAUAUAUAUAUAUUUGUAUGUAUGUGGGCAGGUGUGUAGCUCUCUCUAUUUCUAUCGGUCUCUCUCCCUUCCUCUUCGUGCACUCGCACGACAUCCUCGGAAGAAGCCCGAGCAAAGAGGUCGGCAGCCUGGUCUUACGUUUAUGAGACUCCUCGCCCCGCCCCUCUCUCGUCCCUUCAAGAUCCUGAUACAUGCGUAGUAGGCUGGAAACGCGCUGUGUGGGGCUGUAUGUGUGUGUGGAUGUAGUGUGCGCUGACAAGGCGUGCGCGUUAUCGUCUUUUUUUGUGAGGGUGAAGUCUUUCAUGUCUGAAUUUGUAAUGGAGUGCACUCAAGCCGCGCACUUGCCUCGACUCGAAGGAGACGCGAAGGGAACAAGAAGCUCCUGCGCGUGCACCUGUGUCACCUC
This 2357-nucleotide unclassified non-coding RNA is filed under the name Leishmania donovani. RNAcentral's name for it is "gene:LdHU3.19.1670(CDS-product:phosphatidic_acid_ phosphatase_protein-like_protein)". Lineage: Eukaryota; Euglenozoa; Kinetoplastea; Trypanosomatida; Trypanosomatidae. The record is from RNAcentral.